RNAcentral lists this ribosomal RNA (446 nucleotides) under uncultured Actinomycetes bacterium. Its description in RNAcentral is "bacterial SSU rRNA". It matches the Rfam family "Bacterial small subunit ribosomal RNA", at positions 335 to 793 of the family's 1533-position model. The record is from RNAcentral. Lineage: Bacteria; Bacillati; Actinomycetota; Actinomycetes.
ACUCCUACGGGAGGCAGCAGUGGGGAAUAUUGCGCAAUGGGCGAAAGCCUGACGCAGCGACGCCGCGUGGGGGAUGACGGCCUUCGGGUUGUAAACCUCUUUCAGCAGGGACGAAGCGAAAGUGACGGUACCUGCAGAAGAAGCACCGGCCAACUACGUGCCAGCAGCCGCGGUAAUACGUAGGGUGCAAGUGUUGUCCGGAAUUAUUGGGCGUAAAGAGCUCGUAGGCGGUUUGUUGCGUCGGCUGUGAAAACCUGAGGCUCAACCUCAGGCCUGCAGUCGAUACGAGCAGACUAGAGUGUUGCAGGGGAGACUGGAAUUCCUGGUGUAGCGGUGAAAUGCGCAGAUAUCAGGAGGAACACCGGUGGCGAAGGCGGGUCUCUGGGCAACAACUGACGCUGAGGAGCGAAAGCGUGGGGAGCGAACAGGAUUAGAUACCCUGGUAG